Phyllostomus discolor (pale spear-nosed bat) is the source of this 175-nucleotide long non-coding RNA. RefSeq lists it as uncharacterized. Lineage: Eukaryota; Metazoa; Chordata; Mammalia; Chiroptera; Phyllostomidae. The record is from RefSeq and is a predicted model, not a curated record. The transcript has 3 exons.
ACCAAGACAUUAUGGCUCCAGUACAAGUCAAAGCCCCAGAGUCAAUACUUUCACGUGACUAAGAGAUAGCCAACCUAUCAGAUGCACAGUUCAAAGCACUGGUGAUCAGGAUGCUCACAGAAUUGGUUGAAUUUGGUCGCAAAUUAGAUGAAAAAAUGUAGGUUACCAUAAAAGA